AAACUUUUAAUAAAUUACACAAACCAUGAUCUCAAGAAACGUUAUUUACAUUAUUUUAAUGCAAUUUCAAAUAAAUAUUAUUAAUGGAUUUUCUUUAAAAGAUUUGGCAGAAAAGUUUAUUACUUCCGCCAUUUUGAAUAUAAUAAAAGAAAGUUCUGGAAGUAACCAACAUCACGCUGGACAUCCUCUAAAUAUAAAAGAUGAAAUAAAUGAUCAAUUAUUCGGAAAAAAUGUAAAGAGUACAAUAAUCAAGAAAAUAAUACCACACGGAUAUGAUAUAGCGUCUUAUGGAUCCAAUUAUAGAUUCAAAAACUUAUAUCGGCCUUUACCGAGUAUUCUCAUGGAAAAGCUAAUAUCAGAAAAAAAUAUUCAAGAGCCAACUUAUAAAAUUAACCCGAAUAAAUAUAUAAUAUUAAUUAUUAGAAGCAAAGGAAGUUUAAAUGAAAAUUCAAAGAAACAAUUUUUAGACGCAGAUAAAAAUGUAUUCCAUACGGCAACGGAAAAAAAGUUAAAAGAUUUGUUCAAUAAAAUAGUAAAUAAAAGACAUUCUAGGAAAAUAUACACGAAAAGUGGAGAAAUACACGAUCCUUUAAUGCCUGGACAUUUAGUUGAAGUUGAAACAACCACGCCAUUGCCGAAAAAAUGGCUGCCUCACUACCCUUAUUGGAAUUAUUGGACGUACGACAAUACUCUACACGAUGACAACUGCCCAGAGGAUUUCCUUGAAAUGGACGGACAAUGUAUAGAAAUACCCCCGCAUUAAAACACAAUAGUUUUCUCAUUAUUUUAUUACCACAAUGUUUGCCUUAUAACUACAUAUGGUCGAAACGAUGCGAUGCUGUUAAACGGCUAAAAUUACACAAUUUUGAGUACUAUCGCAAAAAUAGACCAAUCAGAGUGAAGAAUGUAUGACACGCGCACUAAUGGCUAAUUUGAUUGGUCCAUUUCCGAGAUCUAUCCACAGUUAUGGCUUGAUAUCUUUUCUAGUUAAAAUAGUUUACACUACGAAAACUUAGAACGCUUCUAACAACUAUAUUUAUUUACCUUAAUUUUACUAAAAGAAAACAAACAUGGAAAUAAAUUUUUAUCCACUUCUUUAAACAAUUGAUUUUUAUUUUUGAUAAGGGCAUGACAAAGUGAACCUACAGCACUUGAUGGUAAGUGGAAUAUGGACAAAUAGAAUGUCGACUGACGAGAGAUGAUUACCCCUUUUCAACACAAUUAUGCCGGCCUGUUGGAACCGGAUAUACACAGACUGAUCCCGGAACGCGACACACGUGGGCCAGUAUGGCGGGUUAUAACACCUUGUGUGCGGUGGUCGCUAUCCGGGCGGAUAUAAAAUAUAUCCUACCACAAGCAAAAUUGAUAUUAGUAUUGAAAAGUGCGAUAUUAAAUCUUAUAUAAAAUAAUAGCAAGGCAUCGCUUGCACCAUAUAGGACAUUAGAGAGACGCAUAGAGAGCUAAGGAACGACACAGCCUCUAAUAAAAACAUAUUUGCUUAAAACCAAUGAUAUAUGAUAAAUAGAUAUUUUGUUUAUAACAUUAAUAAAUAUUAUCAGUGACUUAAUACUAUCAUAAACAAAUAUAAAAAAAGAGAAAAAAACAUACAUAUUCGCUUUUAAAAAAAUGGAAAUAAAUUUACGACAAUAACAAAAAGCUGGGCAAAAGUUUUUUAAAACUGCAGAAAUAUGGAAAAUAUUAUUCUAAAUUCGCUUGAAAUUACCGCCUUUCGAUAUUGGGUCUACUUAUGCGACAUAUAUACGAUUUUUUUCGAUAAAUAUAUCCAGGUAUAUUGAUAAACCCGGGUAAAGUUCUAAUAUAUCCGGGUCAGAUAAUAACAACAAACAAUAUAUUACAAUUCCAGAAACAUAAUAGGACAGUACAUUGUUAAUAAAAUAUAACCAUAAUAUUUUCACAGCAUUACUAAAAUUCUUCACAA
This is a long non-coding RNA of Manduca sexta (tobacco hornworm), 1939 nucleotides long. RefSeq lists it as uncharacterized. The transcript is spliced from 2 exons. The record is from RefSeq and is a predicted model, not a curated record. Lineage: Eukaryota; Metazoa; Arthropoda; Insecta; Lepidoptera; Sphingidae.